Molecule: long non-coding RNA, 320 nt
Filed under: Zonotrichia albicollis (white-throated sparrow)
Lineage: Eukaryota; Metazoa; Chordata; Aves; Passeriformes; Passerellidae
Description: lncRNA (ENSZALG00000017317.1)
Source: RNAcentral
GCCUACAUCCAGUGUGGAUGUUUACUACCAUAAACCUGCUUCAAGACUCAGAGCACCACCACAUAUUCUGAAAAAGAAUAUCUUUACCUGAAUUCACGGUGUUGUUGGGCAGAGAAGGAAAAUAUAACAGAUACAUUCUGAAGAGUUUAAACAGGAGUUCACAAAGAGUGGCAGUGAGAGCCAUCACACUGCAUUCAACUGGAAAAGGCUUGAAACACUUCAAAUGAUAACACAAUGGACUUGAGUAGGACAUCUUUUCAUCAAAUAUCCAAGAACAGCUUGGAGGAGUCCAGAGCUGCUGGCUGGCCUAUGGAGCAGAU